RNAcentral lists this ribosomal RNA (237 nucleotides) under uncultured bacterium. RNAcentral describes it as "partial 16S ribosomal RNA". It matches the Rfam family "Bacterial small subunit ribosomal RNA", at positions 29 to 262 of the family's 1533-position model. The record is from RNAcentral.
GUGAACGCUGGCGGUAGGCCUAACACAUGCAAGUCGAACGGCAGCACAGAGGAGCUUGCUCCUUGGGUGGCGAGUGGCGGACGGGUGAGGAAUACAUCGGAAUCUACUCUGUCGUGGGGGAUAACGUAGGGAAACUUACGCUAAUACCGCAUACGACCUACGGGUGAAAGCAGGGGAUCUUCGGACCUUGCGCGAUUGAAUGAGCCGAUGUCGGAUUAGCUAGUUGGCGGGGUAAAG